Molecule: ribosomal RNA, 428 nt
Filed under: uncultured Oscillospiraceae bacterium
Lineage: Bacteria; Bacillati; Bacillota; Clostridia; Eubacteriales; Oscillospiraceae
Description: bacterial SSU rRNA
Rfam family: Bacterial small subunit ribosomal RNA
Source: RNAcentral
GUGGGGAAUAUUGGGCAAUGGGGGAAACCCUGACCCAGCAACGCCGCGUGAAGGAAGAAGGCCUUCGGGUUGUAAACUUCUUUUACCAGGGACGAAGAACGUGACGGUACCUGGAGAAAAAGCCACGGCUAACUACGUGCCAGCAGCCGCGGUAAUACGUAGGUGGCAAGCGUUGUCCGGAUUUACUGGGUGUAAAGGGCGUGUAGGCGGAGAUGCAAGUUGGGAGUGAAAUCCCGGGGCUCAACCCCGGAACUGCUUUCAAAACUGUAUCCCUUGAGUGUCGGAGAGGCAAGCGGAAUUCCUAGUGUAGCGGUGAAAUGCGUAGAUAUUAGGAGGAACACCAGUGGCGAAGGCGGCUUGCUGGACGAUAACUGACGCUGAGGCGCGAAAGCGUGGGGAGCAAACAGGAUUAGAUACCCUAGUAGUCC